Molecule: ribosomal RNA, 665 nt
Filed under: Botryosphaeria dothidea
Lineage: Eukaryota; Fungi; Ascomycota; Dothideomycetes; Botryosphaeriales; Botryosphaeriaceae
Description: SSU rRNA
Rfam family: Bacterial small subunit ribosomal RNA
Source: RNAcentral
UGCUUGACACAUGCUAAUCGUACGUCUAAUUACAUUAGAAAUAAUUUAGUUAGAAGUGGUGUACAGGUGAGUAAAUGAUAUUAUGGCUACCUUGGAGUAAGGGACAUUAAAAUCCCUUAUAUUAUAAAAAAAUUUUUAUAUUAAAAGAAAUUUAUUUUCGCUCCUAGAUGGAAAUUAAUAUCUCGGACAGGUAGUAGUUAAGGUAAUGGCUAAACUAGCUUAUGUCCGUAGUCGAGACUGAGAGGUCGAUCGACCACAUUGGGUCUGAAAAAACCCCAAUACGUAUAGUACAGCAGUGAGGAAUAUUGGUCAAUGGCCUAACGGCUGAACCAGCAACUUGGGGGAAUGUAUAUAUAUUAGAGAUAAUAUAUAGUACCCGCUCUGUCGGAUAAAGUUCUAGAUAGAAUAAUGAUAAUGACAAUUUUCUAUCUAUAUGUCUUGACCAAAUCUUGUGCCAGCAGUCGCGGCAACACAAGGGAGACUAGUGUUAUUCAUCUUUAUUAGGUUAAAGGGUACCUAGACGGUAUAUCAAGCCCCAAAAGGGAACUGAUAUACUAGAGUUUAUGUGAGAGGCAAAUAUAGUACUAUUGGUGUAGAGAUAAAAUCAUUGAUACCUCUAGCACCGGUAACGGCGAAGCAAUCCUCUAUGUAAAAACUGACGUUGA